ACGCUGGCGGCGUGCCUAAUACAUGCAAGUAGAACGCUGAAGGAGGAGCUUGCUUCUCCGGAUGAGUUGCGAACGGGUGAGUAACGCGUAGGUAACCUGCCUGGUAGCGGGGGAUAACUAUUGGAAACGAUAGCUAAUACCGCAUAAGAGUAGAUGUUGCAUGACAUUUGCUUAAAAGGUGCAAUUGCAUCACUACCAGAUGGACCUGCGUUGUAUUAGCUAGUUGGUGGGGUAACGGCUCACCAAGGCGACGAUACAUAGCCGACCUGAGAGGGUGAUCGGCCACACUGGGACUGAGACACGGCCCAGACUCCUACGGGAGGCAGCAGUAGGGAAUCUUCGGCAAUGGACGGAAGUCUGACCGAGCAACGCCGCGUGAGUGAAGAAGGUUUUCGGAUCGUAAAGCUCUGUUGUAAGAGAAGAACGAGUGUGAGAGUGGAAAGUUCACACUGUGACGGUAUCUUACCAGAAAGGGACGGCUAACUACGUGCCAGCAGCCGCGGUAAUACGUAGGUCCCGAGCGUUGUCCGGAUUUAUUGGGCGUAAAGCGAGCGCAGGCGGUUAGAUAAGUCUGAAGUUAAAGGCUGUGGCUUAACCAUAGUACGCUUUGGAAACUGUUUAACUUGAGUGCAAGAGGGGAGAGUGGAAUUCCAUGUGUAGCGGUGAAAUGCGUAGAUAUAUGGAGGAACACCGGUGGCGAAAGCGGCUCUCUGGCUUGUAACUGACGCUGAGGCUCGAAAGCGUGGGGAGCAAACAGGACUAGAUACCCUGGUAGUCCACGCCGUAAACGAUGAGUGCUAGGUGUUAGACCCUUUCCGGGGUUUAGUGCCGCAGCUAACGCAUUAAGCACUCCGCCUGGGGAGUACGACCGCAAGGUUGAAACUCAAAGGAAUUG
RNAcentral lists this ribosomal RNA (895 nucleotides) under uncultured bacterium. RNAcentral's name for it is "bacterial SSU rRNA". It matches the Rfam family "Bacterial small subunit ribosomal RNA", at positions 33 to 912 of the family's 1533-position model. The record is from RNAcentral.